Molecule: ribosomal RNA, 233 nt
Filed under: uncultured bacterium
Lineage: Bacteria
Description: partial 16S ribosomal RNA
Rfam family: Bacterial small subunit ribosomal RNA
Source: RNAcentral
CACGGGUGAGUAACACGUAUCCAACCUGCCGUCUACUCUUGGACAGCCUUCUGAAAGGAAGAUUAAUACAAGAUGGCAUCAUGAGUCCGCAUGUUCACAUGAUUAAAGGUAUUCCGGUAGACGAUGGGGAUGCGUUCCAUUAGAUAGUAGGCGGGGUAACGGCCCACCUAGUCUUCAAUGGAUAGGGGUUCUGAGAGGAAGGUCCCCCACAUUGGAACUGAGACACGGUCCAA